UUACGGGAGGCAGCAGUGGGGAAUCUUGCGCAAUGGGCGAAAGCCUGACGCAGCAACGCCGCGUGCGGGAUGAAGGCUCUCGGGUCGUAAACCGCUUUCAGCAGGGACGAAAACAGACUGUACCUGCAGAAGAAGCCCCGGCUAAAUACGUGCCAGCAGCCGCGGUAAUACGUAUGGGGCUAGCGUUAUCCGGAUUCAUUGGGCGUAAAGAGCGCGUAGGCGGCUUGUUAAGUCAGAUGUGAAAACCGUGGGCUUAACCUACGGCCUGCAUCUGAAACUGGCAGGCUUGAGUCUGGUAGAGGAAAGUGGAAUUCCCAGUGUAGCGGUGAAAUGCGCAGAUAUUGGGAGGAACACCAGUGGCGAAGGCGGCUUUCUGGGCCACGACUGACGCUGAGGCGCGAAAGCUAGGGGAGCAAACAGGAUUAGAUACCCCGGUAGUCC
Molecule: ribosomal RNA, 441 nt
Filed under: uncultured bacterium
Lineage: Bacteria
Description: bacterial SSU rRNA
Rfam family: Bacterial small subunit ribosomal RNA
Source: RNAcentral